This 434-nucleotide ribosomal RNA is filed under the name uncultured Lachnospiraceae bacterium. RNAcentral describes it as "partial 16S ribosomal RNA". It matches the Rfam family "Bacterial small subunit ribosomal RNA", at positions 341 to 792 of the family's 1533-position model. Lineage: Bacteria; Bacillati; Bacillota; Clostridia; Lachnospirales; Lachnospiraceae. The record is from RNAcentral.
ACGGGAGGCAGCAGUGGGGAAUAUUGCACAAUGGGGGAAACCCUGAUGCAGCGACGCCGCGUGAGUGAAGAAGUAUUUCGGUAUGUAAAGCUCUAUCAGCAAGGAAGAAAAUGACGGUACUUGACUAAGAAGCCCCGGCUAACUACGUGCCAGCAGCCGCGGUAAUACGUAGGGGGCAAGCGUUAUCCGGAUUUACUGGGUGUAAAGGGAGCGUAGACGGCAUAGCAAGUCUGAAGUGAAAUGCAUGGGCUCAACCCAUGAACUGCUUUGGAAACUGUUAAGCUAGAGUGCAGGAGGGGUAAGUGGAAUUCCUAGUGUAGCGGUGAAAUGCGUAGAUAUUAGGAGGAACACCAGUGGCGAAGGCGGCUUACUGGACCGUAACUGACGUUGAGGCUCGAAAGCGUGGGGAGCAAACAGGAUUAGAUACCCUGGUA